This 400-nucleotide ribosomal RNA is filed under the name uncultured bacterium. RNAcentral describes it as "bacterial SSU rRNA". It matches the Rfam family "Bacterial small subunit ribosomal RNA", at positions 355 to 748 of the family's 1533-position model. The record is from RNAcentral.
UUUCGAAUCAUUCACAAUGGGCGAAAGCCUGAUGGUGCGACGCCGCGUGAGGGAUGAAGGUCUUCGGAUUGUAAACCUCUGUCACUGGGGAAGAAACGCUAUACGUAAACAGCGUAUAGCCUGACUUAACCCGGAGAGGAAGCAGUGGCUAACUCUGUGCCAGCAGCCGCGGUAAUACAGAGACUGCAAGCGUUAUUCGGAUUCACUGGGCGUAAAGGGUGCGCAGGUGGCCUUGUGUGUCAGAUGUGAAAGCCUGGAGCUUAACUCCAGAAUUGCGUCUGAAACUACAAGGCUAGAGCAUUGGAGAGGGUAGCGGAAUUCAUGGUGUAGCAGUGAAAUGCGUAGAUAUCAUGAGGAACACCAGAGGCGAAGGCGGCUACCUGGACAAUUGCUGACACUC